ACUUUAUGUCAAGUGCGUAUUUACAAUCUGACACCAACUUAUCUGUACCAGGCUCACUACAAGAUCUUUCCCAGAUCUAUCCAUUCCUACUUACAGUGGCCAUUUGCCUUACCUCCUAGCCAGAGCUGCCCUAUCCACACCAUACUCCACUACUAAGAUUCUAAAGCCUAGCUUCUGCCACCAAGUCCACAAUUAAGGAGACCCUGUGAAUGGUAUCAACUGACAAGGAGAAGACUCCAUAUCCAUGUACUGGCUUGAGUGGACCCAUGGAGACUUUGGCUAAAGGAAAGUUGCCAUGUUUCAGGUGGACUUCAGACCCUGGAAGAGGAGAGGCAAAGGGAGCCAGAAGGCAAAAAGAACUGGUGAACUGAGUACUGAAGUACAGAGAAGUCAGGCUACUGCCACCUGAAUGUUUUGCACUCAUCCAAUCUGUAUCGCGCUUUCAUACCGGAGUUUGGCAGCGAGGUAAUACUGAUGCACUCCUCUACUUUCCUUGGAUUUCAUUAAACACCUACUAUGUGAUGGUUGUGUUUCAAUGGAAGGGAUGUGCAGUAUGAUGUCUACAAUGAUGUGACUUACUUGAAGCUGUUGAUUAUCUGAAUUUUAUUGUCAAGACAAAAUUAUUCAUGCCUCUCCAGUAUAUCUUUUAUGGAUGAGACUGUACGUUUGAGAGCAAAAUUACCAGUGGGAAUCGACAAUUAGCAGCCACCCAGGAACUAGAUGUAGUGUGGCAUAUUUCUACCAGCUUAGAUAGUCAUCAACCCAUCAGGCCAAAGUUUUCUUCAGCAGAAACUGCCCUGCCAAGUGGUUUCUGGAUCCUUCUCAGAGGAAACAGCAAGGGGCUGAAAGCCACCUCUUUCAACCACACCAGAAAUUGGCUGUCCAUGGAGAUUCUAGACCCAAAAUCUGUCUUAGACACAGAUGUAUCAAACCAAGUCUGGAAACCCACUGGACGUCCCAUCCGGAAGCUGGCUGCAGAUGGGGACGAGUUCUGUUCCCGAGAGAGUCUCAGAAGUAGCCACGGAAUCAUCUCGCUGAUCUUAAUUUCUGUCCCUGGGCUGGGCAAAGGGGAGGAUCGGGGCAAGAGAGCCUCUCCCCUCCUGCCCCCCCUUCCCCAAAUUGGCAGCCAGUCGGUGGCUCUCGGUCUGGGGUCUGGAGGGUGGGGAAUGUGGGUGUGGGGGCCGGCUGGAGAAGCUCUCGCUAGCGCUGCCUGUGGCCAGACCCGCCUCCCAACCCCUCUCGGGCGCACACAGACGUCCACCCAGACACACUCCGCGCGCUCCCUC
This 1286-nucleotide long non-coding RNA is filed under the name Ursus maritimus (polar bear). Its description in RNAcentral is "lncRNA (ENSUMAG00000023992.1)". Lineage: Eukaryota; Metazoa; Chordata; Mammalia; Carnivora; Ursidae. The record is from RNAcentral.